This is a long non-coding RNA of Sphaeramia orbicularis (orbiculate cardinalfish), 411 nucleotides long. RefSeq lists it as uncharacterized. The transcript has 2 exons. Lineage: Eukaryota; Metazoa; Chordata; Actinopteri; Kurtiformes; Apogonidae. The record is from RefSeq and is a predicted model, not a curated record.
GUAAUCUAGGUAACCUGGGAUAUCCUGCAGACGAUUACAGAACGUCUGUGGUUAGAGCUGAACCUUCAGAGCUGAAACUGAAAAAAAAAAAAAAAAGUGUUGAGCUGCAGUUCAUCAGUUAAACACUAGAGAACAGAAGAGACACAAGAACAGAAGUUCCAGCUGACGGCUUUAUUUUCCUCAGUAUUCUGAGCAGAGCAGACUGGAACUGACUCACAGCUGUGAAUGGAAGAACAGCUCGCACACAGCACCAGCAGAGUACCGAAGAAGAUAAAAACAUGAAUAAACGAUGAAACUGACAAAAUGCAUCCAAACGUAGCAUGCAAUCACUGAUUACACAAACCUACUUUCCAGAAUAGUUGCAAAAACAAACAAAAAUCUGUGCUUGUCAAUUUGCUUGAUCCUUUAACU